Molecule: long non-coding RNA, 948 nt
Organism: Hyla sarda
Lineage: Eukaryota; Metazoa; Chordata; Amphibia; Anura; Hylidae
Exons: 3
Source: RefSeq, a predicted model, not a curated record
AGGUGAUUAAUGCCCGGUGAGAGGGUGAAAGGGACCUAUACCCCCGUCAGCUGCAGGAAAGGAAAAAAGAGACAGGUGAUUGAUGCCCGGUGAGAAGGUGAAAGUGACCUAUACCCCUGUCAGCUGCAGGAAAGGAACCAAGAGACAGGUUAUUUUAUAGGACCUACAGGCUUUGCAACCAAUGUGCUGUAAUCCAGCCUCCUUAGAAUAUAAUGGGCUGUAGUCUCUAAAUUCACUUAAUUCCUGGCACUCAAGCAAGCACAAUCAGCAUAUACUACUCAAUUCAUCUCAGCUAGGCCAAAGCCUAAAGAACCUGCAGCCACUUCAAAACGUGAGUUAUCAAGCUAUAUCUACAAAUUCCUAGUGACUACUAUUCAACUCAAGCCUACAAUUAGUAGCACAGUGGCCGGCAGAAAUCUCAAUACUACAAGUCCCAGCAAGCCUGCAAGGUAUCCUGCAUCCCGGUUGCCUCUAGGGAAACUGCAUCAUUGUAAAGACUGUUCCAUGAGAAGUUUAAGUAAAAGUUCCAGUUAUCUCAUAAUUCCUGCUGUGGACAUUCCAUUAUCUCCUGCCGUUUUUGGGCUGGUUGUCGGCAGGGCCUUCUACAGAAAACAACCGCACCCUGGUGUCACGACAAAUUAGGGGUUAAUACCACCUUACCCCACAGGGUUAAUACCACCAGACCCUGCAACACCAUUGCCUCACCCCGCUUACCACACUUUACUUUUUUGAGACUUUAUUGGUUUGGGUCUUGCUUGCUUCUCUCCGCUCGCUGUAGUCGACCAUUUUUCAUUUUAUUUGGGAUGUCCUAGGUGUUUGCCAAGUUUUUGUUACAGUGGGUCGUAAAAAUUAAAAAUUUAAAUUCUAUUGUAACUCAUGAUUUUUUAUUUUUACAAGGGGUUACCGCAGAAAAAGCACCAUGAAAUUUGUUUCCCAAUUUCUCUUGAU